GGGUUGCAUUUUAUGAAUUUUCCUUCGCCCAUGGCUUUCUUGCCUGGCCAACAAUUGGGUUCAGCAAUAAGCGGAAGUGGCAGCGGCGGCGGCACUAGUAUUGUUACUGAAAGUCACUUAGGUGUUAUGGCCGCGCUCAAUGCUUAUAGGCCAAUUAUGGGUAGUGGCGGCGCCUCCGAGUCUCUGGCGAGUGGGUCAAACCCGCACCAUGGAGGAGAGGACGGGCAAGAUACAACUAUCUAAGCAAGCAAGCGUAUGGUUUGAUCAAUGCAUUGCUAUUACUUACUACAUACUUCUUAACGAUAUAUAUCUGCAUUUUGCAAUACAGGCUCAAGGUUUGAUUGUUUUGAAAAGAAUUGAGUUAAUUAGUAUUCGAUUUUUGGUGUGAUUAGUGAAGAAAAUUUUAGGGUUUGAUGAAAGAAAGUAUUCACAUGAGUAUUUGCCUGGUCUUGUUAAGGUCUAUAUCUAUGAUCUCCAGCUGUGUGUGAGUGGCUGAACCAUUUCCU
This 506-nucleotide unclassified non-coding RNA is filed under the name Hevea brasiliensis (rubber tree). The record is from RNAcentral. Lineage: Eukaryota; Viridiplantae; Streptophyta; Magnoliopsida; Malpighiales; Euphorbiaceae.